CCUACGGGCGGCAGCAGUGGGGAAUCUUCCGCAAUGGACGAAAGUCUGACGGAGCAACGCCGCGUGAGUGAAGACGGCCUUCGGGUUGUAAAGCUCUGUGAUCCGGGACGAAAGAGCCUUGGGUGAAUAGCCUAAGGAAGUGACGGUACCGGAAAAGCAAGCCACGGCUAACUACGUGCCAGCAGCCGCGGUAAUACGUAGGUGGCAAGCGUUGUCCGGAAUUAUUGGGCGUAAAGCGCGCGCAGGCGGCUUCCUAAGUCCAUCUUAAAAGUGCGGGGCUUAACCCCGUGAUGGGAUGGAAACUGGGAAGCUGGAGUAUCGGAGAGGAAAGUGGAAUUCCUAGUGUAGCGGUGAAAUGCGUAGAGAUCUGGAGGAAUACCGGUGGCGAAGGCGGCCCCCUGGACAAAGACUGACGCUCAGGUGCGAAAGCGUGGGGAGCAAACAGGAUUAGAUACCCCGGUAGUC
Molecule: ribosomal RNA, 465 nt
Filed under: uncultured bacterium
Lineage: Bacteria
Description: bacterial SSU rRNA
Rfam family: Bacterial small subunit ribosomal RNA
Source: RNAcentral